This 796-nucleotide ribosomal RNA is filed under the name uncultured Oomycota. Its description in RNAcentral is "LSU rRNA". It matches the Rfam family "Eukaryotic large subunit ribosomal RNA", at positions 23 to 664 of the family's 3401-position model. The record is from RNAcentral. Lineage: Eukaryota; Oomycota.
ACCCGCUGAACUUAAGCAUAUUAAUAAGCGGAGGAAAAGAAACUAACUAGGAUUCCCCCAGUAACGGCGAGUGAAGCGGGAUGAGCUCAAGCUUAAAAUCUCUGUGUAAGUUUUACAUGGCGAAUUGUAGUCUAUAGAGGCGAUGUCAGUGCGACUGCGCGGGUUAAGUUCCUUGGAAGAGGACAGCAUCGAGGGUGAUACUCCCGUUUUUACCUGUGCAGUUGUGCGUACGACCCGUUUUCUUUGAGUCGCGUUGUUUGGGAAUGCAGCGCAAAGUAGGUGGUAAAUUCCAUCUAAAGCUAAAUAUUGGUGCGAGACCGAUAGCGAACAAGUACCGUGAGGGAAAGAUGAAAAGAACUUUGAAAAGAGAGUUAAAGAGUACCUGAAACUGCUGAAAGGGAAUCGAAUCGUUUCCAGUGUCUAUAAUCCGUGUCAUAUUUCAUUGGUGUGUUUGUGCGUGCUGUAUUUGAGAAGUGGUUCUCCUCUCUCUAUGUAGUUGUGCGUAAGCUCGCUGGUGCCCUGUGGCGCGGUGGGACGUCAGAGUCAGUUCGUACUGCGGGAAAUGGCUAUAGGGGAGGUAGGUCAUUUCGGUGACUGUUAUAUCCUUGUAGUUAGUGGUCGUGGUUGGGACUGAGGUGUCUACAAUGUGCUUUUGAGUGUUCAUUCGUUUUGUUGGUUUGUUUGUCUGGACAGCUUGCUGUGCUGGUGAAUACAUCUGAUGAUUAGCGUGUGUUCUAACUUGUUGCCAUUCGGGACUUUGACGAAAUGGAGCGAUCCGUCCCGUCUUGAAACACGG